CCUACGGGUGGCAGCAGUGGGGAAUAUUGGGCAAUGGGCGCAAGCCUGACCCAGCAACGCCGCGUGAAGGAAGAAGGCUUUCGGGUUGUAAACUUCUUUUCUCAGGGACGAAGCAAGUGACGGUACCUGAGGAAUAAGCCACGGCUAACUACGUGCCAGCAGCCGCGGUAAUACGUAGGUGGCAAGCGUUAUCCGGAUUUACUGGGUGUAAAGGGCGUGUAGGCGGGAAAGCAAGACAGUUGUGAAACCACGGGCUCAACCUGUGGCCUGUAUUUGAAACUGUUUUUCUUGAGUACUGGGGAGGCAGACGGAAUUCCUAGUGGAGCGGUGAAAUGCGUAGAUAUUAGGAGGAACACCAGUGGCGAAGGCGGUCUGCUGGACAGCAACUGACGCUGAGGCGCGAAAGCGUGGGGAGCAAACAGGAUUAGAUACCCUGGUAGUC
This 442-nucleotide ribosomal RNA is filed under the name uncultured bacterium. Its description in RNAcentral is "partial 16S ribosomal RNA". It matches the Rfam family "Bacterial small subunit ribosomal RNA", at positions 338 to 795 of the family's 1533-position model. The record is from RNAcentral.